AUCUCUCCUGUGAAACGGUUAUUGUUCAAGAAAAGAGACUCUGCUCCGGCGAGGGAAGGAGGUAACUCGCCGGAGAUAGAGUUAUGGCUCAGAUCAACGACGGAGCCCUGAGGUAACAUUAACAGUGACGUGGCGUUGAUGGAUGUGAAGUUGUUUCGUUGUAGGAACAUUGAUGUGGUUGUGGAGCCAAAGAGUGAUUGCGGGAUCGCUCCGGUGAACCGGUUCAUGCUGAGAUCGAUGUACGUUAGGUCUGUGAGUGGCUCCAAGGGGAUGAUUUCGCCGGAGAUUGAGUUUCCGGCGAGGGAUAAGUACCGGAGAGUGGUGGGGAAAAGAGGUGGGAGUUGGCCGGAGAUUUGGUUCAUCUUUAGGUCUAAGUGAAGCAAAGGGCUAGAGACAGGUUUAACGUUGUCGGAGAAACGGUUCGAGGCUAAGACAAGGACUUUGAGAUGAGGAAGUGUGGUUAGAAACGGAGGGAGAGAGCCUGAGAGUUGGUUAUAGCUGAGGUCAAGAGUGUGGAGGUACGAGAGAGAUGAGAAAGAGUUUGGUAUAGGACCGGUUAAGCGGUUUCUGGUUAAGGAAAUGACUCGAAGGAGAGGGAGGGUAUCGAACCGAGGAGGGAGAGGUCCGGUGACUAAACCGGGGUAGAGAACGAGUUGGGUCAAAUGGGUUAGGUUGGAGAUGGAAGGAGAUAGUGAACCGGAGAGGUUAGGGCCGAGAGAUAAGGCGGAGACACGGCCGAGGGAACUGCAAGUGAGGCCUGAGAAGGUGGAGCUCCACGGGAAUCUCGUUAAGUAGUUAUGUUGCAAGAAGAGCGUUUUCGUCGUACCGUUGACCAAGCUCUUGAUGUACUCCUCUGGAAUCUCUCCUGUGAAACGGUUAUUGUUCAAGAAAAGAGACUCUGCUCCGGCGAGGGAAGGAGGUAACUCGCCGGAGAUAGAGUUAUGGCUCAGAUCAACGACGGAGCCCUGAGGUAACAUUAACAGUGACGUGGCGUUGAUGGAUGUGAAGUUGUUUCGUUGUAGGAACAUUGAUGUGGUUGUGGAACCAAAGAGAGAUUGCGGGAUUGCGCCGGUGAACCGGUUCAUGCUGAGAUCGAUGUACGUUAGGUCUGUGAGUGGCUCCAAGGGGUUGAUUGUGCCGGAGAUUGAGUUUCCGGCGAGGGAUAAGUACUGGAGAGUGGUGGGGAAAAGAGGCGGGAGUUGGCCGGAGAUUUGGUUCAUCUUUAGGUCUAAGUGAAGCAAAGGGCUAGAGACAGGUUUAACGUUGUCGGAGAAACGGUUCGAGGCUAAGACAAGGACUUUGAGACGAGGAAGUGUGGUGAGAAACGGAGGGAGAGAGCCUGAGAGUUGGUUAUAGCUGAGGUCAAGAGUGUGGAGGUAUGAGAGAGAUGAGAAAGAGUUUGGUAUAGGACCGGUUAAGCGGUUUCUGGUUAAGGAAAUGACUCGAAGGAGAGGGAGGGUAUCGAACCGAGGAGGGAGAGGUCCGGUGACUAAACCGGGGUAGAGAACGAGUUGGGUCAAAUGGGUUAGGUUGGAGAUGGAUGGGGAUAGUGAACCGGAGAGGUUAGGGCCGAGUGAUAAGGCGGAGACACGGCCGAGGGAAGUGCAAGUUAGGCCUGCGAAGGUGGAGCAAGGGUCAGGGGUUGUGAAGUCCCAAGUUGAGAAGAAGGCUGAACCGGGCAUGUCGGUUAAGGAGUCUCUUAUGGAUUCAAGAGCAACGUGGCGUUGAUGGAUGUGAAGUUGUUUCGUUGUAGGAACAUUGAUGUGGUUGUGGAGCCAAAGAGUGAUUGCGGGAUCGCUCCGGUGAACCGGUUCAUGCUGAGAUCGAUGUACGUUAGGUCUGUGAGUGGCUCCAAGGGGAUGAUUUCGCCGGAGAUUGAGUUUCCGGCGAGGGAUAAGUACCGGAGAGUGGUGGGGAAAAGAGGUGGGAGUUGGCCGGAGAUUUGGUUCAUCUUUAGGUCUAAGUGAAGCAAAGGGCUAGAGACAGGUUUAACGUUGUCGGAGAAACGGUUCGAGGCUAAGACAAGGACUUUGAGAUGAGGAAGUGUGGUUAGAAACGGAGGGAGAGAGCCUGAGAGUUGGUUAUAGCUGAGGUCAAGAGUGUGGAGGUACGAGAGAGAUGAGAAAGAGUUUGGUAUAGGACCGGUUAAGCGGUUUCUGGUUAAGGAAAUGACUCGAAGGAGAGGGAGGGUAUCGAACCGAGGAGGGAGAGGUCCGGUGACUAAACCGGGGUAGAGAACGAGUUGGGUCAAAUGGGUUAGGUUGGAGAUGGAAGGAGAUAGUGAACCGGAGAGGUUAGGGCCGAGAGAUAAGGCGGAGACACGGCCGAGGGAACUGCAAGUGAGGCCUGAGAAG
This 2354-nucleotide long non-coding RNA is filed under the name Brassica napus (rape). RNAcentral describes it as "long non-coding RNA (BNAP_LNC005589)". The record is from RNAcentral. Lineage: Eukaryota; Viridiplantae; Streptophyta; Magnoliopsida; Brassicales; Brassicaceae.